UAGGAAGGUUUUGAUGGAAAUUUUCCCAGG
Molecule: non-coding RNA, 30 nt
Filed under: Rattus norvegicus (Norway rat)
Lineage: Eukaryota; Metazoa; Chordata; Mammalia; Rodentia; Muridae
Source: RNAcentral